RNAcentral lists this ribosomal RNA (263 nucleotides) under Escherichia coli. RNAcentral's name for it is "partial 16S ribosomal RNA". It matches the Rfam family "Bacterial small subunit ribosomal RNA", at positions 1 to 260 of the family's 1533-position model. RNAcentral also lists the same sequence under 9 other names. The record is from RNAcentral. Lineage: Bacteria; Pseudomonadati; Pseudomonadota; Gammaproteobacteria; Enterobacterales; Enterobacteriaceae.
AAAUUGAAGAGUUUGAUCAUGGCUCAGAUUGAACGCUGGCGGCAGGCCUAACACAUGCAAGUCGAACGGUAACAGGAAACAGCUUGCUGUUUCGCUGACGAGUGGCGGACGGGUGAGUAAUGUCUGGGAAACUGCCUGAUGGAGGGGGAUAACUACUGGAAACGGUAGCUAAUACCGCAUAACGUCGCAAGACCAAAGAGGGGGACCUUAGGGCCUCUUGCCAUCGGAUGUGCCCAGAUGGGAUUAGCUAGUAGGUGGGGUAA